GAAGGCUGAAAUUCGCCUUCAUGAAGUCGGAAUUGCUAGUAAUGGCAGGUCAGCAUACUGCCGUGAAUACGUUCCCGGGCCUUGUACACACCGCCCGUCACACCAUGAGAGUUGGGAAUACCCGAAGCCUGUGAGCCAACAAACGAGGCAGCAGUCGAAGGUAGAAUCAAUGAUUGGGGUGAAGUCGUAACAAGGUACC
RNAcentral lists this ribosomal RNA (199 nucleotides) under uncultured bacterium. RNAcentral's name for it is "partial 16S ribosomal RNA". It matches the Rfam family "Bacterial small subunit ribosomal RNA", at positions 1300 to 1500 of the family's 1533-position model. The record is from RNAcentral.